This 522-nucleotide ribosomal RNA is filed under the name uncultured bacterium. RNAcentral describes it as "bacterial SSU rRNA". It matches the Rfam family "Bacterial small subunit ribosomal RNA", at positions 100 to 654 of the family's 1533-position model. The record is from RNAcentral.
GGACGGGUGAGUAACGCGUAAAGACUUGCCUUGCAGUCUGGGACAACGUCUGGAAACGGACGCUAAUACCGGAUAUUAUCGCAUGAUGAAAGCUAUAUGCGCUGCGAGAGAGCUUUGCGUCCCAUUAGUUAGUUGGUGAGGUAACGGCUCACCAAGACGAUGAUGGGUAGCCGGCCUGAGAGGGUGAACGGCCACAAGGGGACUGAGACACGGCCCUUACUCCUACGGGAGGCAGCAGUGGGGAAUAUUGGACAAUGGACCAAAGUCUGAUCCAGCAAUUCUGUGUGCACGAUGAAGUUUUUCGGAAUGUAAAGUGCUUUCAGUUGGGAAGAAGAAAGUGACGGUACCAACAGAAGAAGCGACGGCUAAAUACGUGCCAGCAGCCGCGGUAAUACGUAUGUCGCACGCGUUAUCCGGAUUUAUUGGGCGUAAAGCGCGUCUAGGCGGUUUGGUAAGUCUGAUGUGAAAAUGCGGGGCUCAACUCCGUAUUGCGUUGGAAACUGCCAAACUAGAGUACUGGAG